RNAcentral lists this ribosomal RNA (406 nucleotides) under uncultured bacterium. RNAcentral describes it as "partial 16S ribosomal RNA". It matches the Rfam family "Bacterial small subunit ribosomal RNA", at positions 30 to 526 of the family's 1533-position model. The record is from RNAcentral.
AUUGAACGCUGGCGGCAGGCCUAACACAUGCAAGUCGAACGGCUGGCGGACGCGUGAGUAAUGUCUAGGUAUCUGACUGAGGGGGGGGGAUAAUUACUGCAAACGGUAGCUAAUACUGAAUACCAUCAGAUGUAGCCAGAUGGGAUUAGCUAGUUGGUGGAGGAACGGCUCAACAAGGCGACGAUCCCUAGCUGGUCUGAGAGGAUGACCAGCCACACUGGAACUGAGACACGGUCCAGACUCCUACGUGAGGCAGCAGGGGGGAGUAUUGCACAAUGGGCGCAAGGAUGAUGCAGCCAUGCCGCGUGUAUUAAGAAGGCCUUCGGGUUGUAAAGUACUUUCAGCGGGGAGGCGUUACCCGCAUAAGAAGCACCGGCUAACUCCGUGCCAGCAGCCGCGGUAAUAC